RNAcentral lists this ribosomal RNA (253 nucleotides) under uncultured bacterium. Its description in RNAcentral is "partial 16S ribosomal RNA". It matches the Rfam family "Bacterial small subunit ribosomal RNA", at positions 524 to 776 of the family's 1533-position model. The record is from RNAcentral.
UACGAAGGGGGCUAGCGUUGCUCGGAAUUACUGGGCGUAAAGCGCACGUAGGCGGCUUUCUAAGUCGGGGGUGAAAUCCUGGAGCUCAACUCCAGAACUGCCUUCGAUACUGGAGAGCUUGAGUCCGGGAGAGGUGAGUGGAACUGCGAGUGUAGAGGUGAAAUUCGUAGAUAUUCGCAAGAACACCAGUGGCGAAGGCGGCUCACUGGCCCGGUACUGACGCUGAGGUGCGAAAGCGUGGGGAUCAAACAGG